GACGAACGCUGGCGGCGUGCUUAACACAUGCAAGUCGAACGGAAAGGCCCUGCUUUUGUGGGGUGCUCGAGUGGCGAACGGGUGAGUAACACGUGAGUAACCUGCCCUUGACUUUGGGAUAACUUCAGGAAGCUGGGGCUAAUACCGGAUAGGAGCUCCUGCUGCAUGGUGGGGGUUGGAAAGUUUCGGCGGUUGGGGAUGGACUCGCGGCUUAUCAGCUUGUUGGUGGGGUAGUGGCUUACCAAGGCUUUGACGGGUAGCCGGCCUGAGAGGGUGACCGGCCACAUUGGGACUGAGAUACGGCCCAGACUCCUACGGGAGGCAGCAGUGGGGAAUAUUGCACAAUGGGCGGAAGUCUGAUGCAGCAACGCCGCGUGCGGGAUGACGGCCUUCGGGUUGUAAACCGCUUUCGCCUGUGACGAAGCGUGAGUGACGGUAAUGGGUAAAGAAGCACCGGCUAACUACGUG
RNAcentral lists this ribosomal RNA (468 nucleotides) under uncultured bacterium. Its description in RNAcentral is "partial 16S ribosomal RNA". It matches the Rfam family "Bacterial small subunit ribosomal RNA", at positions 28 to 507 of the family's 1533-position model. The record is from RNAcentral.